This is a long non-coding RNA of Brassica rapa (field mustard), 2984 nucleotides long. RefSeq lists it as uncharacterized. The record is from RefSeq and is a predicted model, not a curated record. Lineage: Eukaryota; Viridiplantae; Streptophyta; Magnoliopsida; Brassicales; Brassicaceae.
AAUGGGUCGGCUUAUCCACAGCGCUGCUGCAGCUCUUCGAUACAUAUUCUUUAGCAUCAACCGUUUUCUGAUCAGAAGAGACUUCGUAAGUUGAACUGAUUGUUUUCUUGGAAUGUUCUCCAGCGUCUCGAGCAAGUUUCUAAUAGUCUCGAUACAACCAUACUAUGUCACAAAAAUAUCAGCUAUAUCGUUCAAAUUUUAUGUAUUUUUUUUUGUUAGUAUAUAAAUUAAUCUGAAAUUCAGAAAAUCUACAAUUAAUAGUUACCAAAUUUAGAUACAUUUUCUUUCGAAUUUAAAUAUUUUUUUUUAUAAACUAGCUAUGAAACUAUGAGUUUGAUUAGUUGGUGUUGUAACUUUAUCUUUAUUUUGCUUUAGAAUUUAAGUUGUAGAUAUUUUGGUAGUGGUUUUAUUUUUAUUUUUCCUGUGAUUGUUUCUAAUAGUAUCCAACAUAAUUUCUUUUCUGAUUCUUUGGCCACAGAUUUAUUUUUGAAAACUAAAUCAUAAUUGUUUCGUAUAAAAAAGCUCUAGAAAAAAUGAUUUUCCACAACUUCCAAUCAUGAUGGUUGUACAAACAUCAUGAAAACUCUUGAAUAAGAGUUAUUUUAUACUAGUAUUGAGUAAUUUUGCUUGCAAAUAAACACAUUUCAGUUUUUAAAAAUUGACAUGUACAGCAUAACUAUAUUUUAUCAGAUAAGUAAAUGCGUAUACACUAAAAAUAGUAUUAACACACUUAUAAUUAAGUAACCACAAACAUAUAAACUUAGCUUGCUUUUGUUGAUAAAUUUUUACAUUGAUCUUAAAUAGUUUGUUGAAUAUAAAUAUUAGUAUGAAGCUUUUCUAUUUUAUUUCGUUUUGUUCUUUCAAUAUUUUCUCUAGUUGUAUCCAUGUACAAACUAAAAUAAUGUUACAAACCCAAUAAAAGCAGAAAAAAUCAGCAUGUAACAUAGAAACAUCAUCGCAUGAAAAAAUAAUCAGUGCAUAGGAAUGGGAAUUAAUUAUGUAGUCAAAAUUAUUAAAAAAAAUUAGUUUGAGAAUAGGUGAGUGUUGCUACUAAAUUUUUGCUACUAUAGACACAAAUUGUAAGCUCAUGUCAGACAUAAUUAAACCAUUGAAAGUAGAUUAGACACUUUUGAUAACAUAUAAGCAUAAUUGCUUUUCCAUGUUUCAGAUUUUUUCAACCGUUCUUUUGAAGUUAUAUACGUAUGAAUGGUGACCAUCGUCCCACCCCGCUCUACAGUUAACAGUAACAAAAAUCUUUACAUAUACUAUAUAUCUAUACAUUUUUAUAACUGUUAAAACCACGCCGCAGUUGAACCGCUUGUCCCGCACCGCUCAAACCGCAGUCACCAUUCAGAACCGUAAUAUAUUUAAGUAUACACACCAGGAGUAUUUACCUUUUAACAAAAGCCAUUCUAUCAAAAGUCUUUCUUCUGAUUCGACAAUGUUUGUGUAACACCCUAAAAUCCAAGCCCAAAAAGUUUUUGUGAUUUAAAAGGGAAAGCCCAUCUUGCAGCCCAUUGUGAUGAAAACCCUAGGGUUCCUUGCCUUUUCCUAUAAAUACAAAGCUUCUACUUCUUAGUCUCUCAUCAGAAACUUUGAAGCGAAACUCUGCAGAGAAAUAUCGGAGACCGGAAAUCCUAGCUGUCGACUCUCUCUCUCUCUCUCCUCGCGCCGCCUCUCCUUCUUUUCUCUCUCCUCACCGCGUCUCUCUCCUCACGAUCUCUCUCUCUCUCCCGGCCGACUCUCUCUCUCUCUCUCCUCGGGCGUGAGCAGCCGCGAGUGGUGGUGGUGGCCGUGUGGUGUCGUUAAUCUCAGAUCUCAUCUCUCUUAUCUCUUGUUUUCACAUCCAGAUCCAGAUCUAGGAUAAGAUGAGAACUAUAAGUGUAAACGUUGAUGGUAACGAAGGAAAUGCACCUGAAGUUUUGGGACCAGUAACGGGACACACAGAGAUAUCAGAAAUGUAGAUAUGUGUGUCUUUAACCUCGUGCCCGGGAAUUCCGGUUGGAAAUGGGAAAGGGGCGGGUGUUACAGUUUGCAUCUUCAUUUGUGGUUGACUUCUAUCCUCCUUAUCUUUCCUUCUCUUUCUUCACGUUAAAAAAACCUCUUUGUUCGAGUUGAAUCUCCAGCCAUUCAAAUCCACCAUGUCCACUCUUUCUCGAGCUUUCAUAUCCCUAAACCGGUUCCCAAGAAGCAUGUCCUGCUCUGCCGUAAUCAACAAAAAUGUAUGAAGGAGGGAGAUAGCACUAUUAGGAAUAAUCCUCUAUCAGCACUCGCUCUAGGAUUCAGGACAUUCAAGAUGACCCCAAAUAUAAAUUAGGAUUUUGAAAGCAAAGAAGAAGAAAAAUACAUCCUUUAUAUUAUGUUUUUGAUCGAUCAAAAAGGUUUUUCUAAUUUUCUUUAUCGAAUGUGAUAAAAAUUUGGUAGAUAUAAGAGAAUGAAAAAUUAAAGAUCGUGGUUAAAGUAUGAUCGUGGGUAGUUUACAGAUUAUUUUUUGUUCUAAAUAUUAUUUUUUGAGUUUUUUUCUUAAUUUUUUACAUUAUUAUGUAUCAGAAUAUGAUUGGUUGAGUGACUUGCAAUUUAGUAUAAGAUUAGGAUAUAUACAAAUGUCUUGUAUUCUCCAAACUCAUGCAUUAUUAUGUAUAACAACACAUUAUAAUUUUUUAAAAAUUGUCGCAUAUGUCUUAUGUACAAAAUAAGAAGCAAAAAUUUGUGGUAUAAGAUAUAAUUAUAUUAUAUAAAAUAUUUCAUAUACAAAGUUGAAUCUAAAUCAUAUUAUAUAUAAUCCUUCAUAUAACUGCUGGGUAAAUCAUAUUACUAUAUCUAAAUCAAUUGUUGCUAUAUCUAAAUCACUUGCAACAAUUCUUUUGUCAUGGCUAAAGAAAGAUGUAAAAACAAGAAAUUGGUCUCUCUCAUAAAAGCAAAACUAUAAGAGUGGAAAGCCUAACUAAAAGCCUCUGAUUGUUUCUCUUCCAAAUUUCAUCUUA